This 670-nucleotide ribosomal RNA is filed under the name Tetranychus urticae (two-spotted spider mite). Its description in RNAcentral is "rRNA tetur06g06571". It matches the Rfam family "Eukaryotic small subunit ribosomal RNA", at positions 21 to 606 of the family's 1831-position model. The record is from RNAcentral. Lineage: Eukaryota; Metazoa; Arthropoda; Arachnida; Trombidiformes; Tetranychidae.
UAGUCAUAUGCUUGUCUCAAAGAUUAAGCCAUGCAUGUCUAAGUACAUACUGUUUAUAAAGUGAAACCGCGAAUGGCUCAUUAAAUCAGUUACGGUUCCUCGGAUAUUCUUUUUUACAUGGAUAACUGUGGUAAUUCUAGAGCUAAUACAUGAACAAGUGUUCCAACCUCAGCUUGCUGACGGAAGGAUCGCAUUUAUUAGUACAAGACCAAUGAUUCUUAUUCACCUAGAACCCUGUUCAGUGAUUUCGGUCGCUGUCUAAGGACUAGCAGUGGGGAUCUUAGCAACUUCGGUUGCAUUUCUUGUGAUGACUCUGAAUAACUGAGCAAAUCGUAUGGCCUCUGAGCCGACGAUGUAUCCCUCAAGCAACUGCCUUAUCAACUGUCGAUGGUAGGUUAUGCGCCUACCAUGGUUGUAACGGGUAACGGGGAAUUAGGGUUCGAUUCCGGAGAGGGAGCCUGAGAAACGGCUACCACAUCUAAGGAAGGCAGCAGGCGCGCAAAUUACACAAUCCCAGUACGGGGAUGUAGUGACGAAAAAUAACAAUACGGGACUCUAUUGAGGCCCCGUAAUUGGAAUGAGUACAAUUUAAAUCCUUUAACGAGGAUCUAUUGGAGGGCAAGUCUGGUGCCAGCAGCCGCGGUAAUUCCAGCUCCAAUAGCGUAUAUAA